RNAcentral lists this transfer RNA (73 nucleotides) under Canis lupus familiaris (dog). It matches the Rfam family "tRNA". Rfam says of the family: Transfer RNA (tRNA) molecules are approximately 80 nucleotides in length. Their secondary structure includes four short double-helical elements and three loops (D, anti-codon, and T loops). Further hydrogen bonds mediate the characteristic L-shaped molecular structure. tRNAs have two regions of fundamental functional importance: the anti-codon, which is responsible for specific mRNA codon recognition, and the 3' end, to which the tRNAs corresponding amino acid is attached (by aminoacyl-tRNA synthetases). tRNAs cope with the degeneracy of the genetic code in two manners: having more than one tRNA (with a specific anti-codon) for a particular amino acid; and 'wobble' base-pairing, i.e. permitting non-standard base-pairing at the 3rd anti-codon position. The record is from Rfam by way of RNAcentral. Lineage: Eukaryota; Metazoa; Chordata; Mammalia; Carnivora; Canidae. RNAcentral also lists the same sequence under 1 other name.
ACCUGGUUGGUUCAGUCAGUAGAACAUGGGAUUCUUGAUCUCAGGUUUGUGAGUUCAAUACCCUUAUUGGGUG